RNAcentral lists this ribosomal RNA (253 nucleotides) under uncultured bacterium. RNAcentral's name for it is "partial 16S ribosomal RNA". It matches the Rfam family "Bacterial small subunit ribosomal RNA", at positions 524 to 776 of the family's 1533-position model. The record is from RNAcentral.
UACGGAGGAUCCAAGCGUUAUCCGGAAUCAUUGGGUUUAAAGGGUCCGUAGGCGGUUUAGUAAGUCAGUGGUGAAAGCCCAUCGCUCAACGGUGGAACGGCCAUUGAUACUGCUAGACUUGAAUUAUUAGGAAAUAACUAGAAUAUGUAGUGUAGCGGUGAAAUGCUUAGAGAUUACAUGGAAUACCAAUUGCGAAGGCAGAUUACUACUAAUGGAUUGACGCUGAUGGACGAAAGCGUGGGUAGCGAACAGG